AGUACCCUACUGUAAAUAGGCGGUUGCAUCGGUCCCCAAGUCUGCACCAGUAACGCUAGUCUGGUGUGCAAGGACCAGUGGUGGCCCUCCCAGUCAACACCACCUCAUAAGAUGAGGAAGUACAUUCGUUUAUGAGGAUUGCCUGCUGCAGUUAUUCGAGAGAUGUCCAGUUUGCAGCUGAACAUGCAACAUAGAGAAGACAAGCAAGGGGACCCUCAGCAUCACGCAGAGAUGGCCUGGGAAGACAAUUGAAUCAGGUUGGUGACAUCUGACCUGGUCAAAGGUCAAAAACAGUUUCAAGUUCUGUCCCAAUAUCCCUUCAUAACCUAGCCUGGUGGCAACAGUCUGAUCACUGUGUUUAACAUUCUAUUUCACUUUCACUUCACAUAUCAUGAUACAUGAAGUGAAAUAGAAAGGUGAACACAGUGAUCCGGUUGGUUCCACCAUGCUAAUCAUAACCACCAUUGAUAAUGUAAUCAGUGCCCGGUGUGUGUGUUUGUGUGUGACCAACCAGUAGUAUCUUUGAUGAAGGGCCAGGAGCUGAUCUACGCUGCCAUGUCCAUCCUACGCACAGAAUCAGGCCCUCGAGGACUGGAAUUGCCCACCCCUGCUUUAAGACAUGAAGGUCAGUCAAUCUGGAAAAUGUCAAAGUUUCUUCAAGUGCAGUCGCAAAAACCAUCAAGCGCUAUGAUGAAACUGGCUCUCAUGAGGACCGCCACAGGACAGGAAUUGAGAUGGUGUGGGAUGAUUUGGACUGCAGACUGAAGGAAAAGCAGCCAGAAAGUGCUCAGUUUAUGUGGGAACUACUUCAAGACUGUUGGAAAAGCAUUCCUCAUGAAGCUGGUUGAGAGAAUGCCAAGAGCGUGCAAAGCUGUCAUCAAGGUAUUGGGUGGCUACUUUGAAGAAUCUCAAAUAUAAAUAUAUUUUGAUUUGUUUAACACUUUUUUGGUUACUACAUGAUUUCAUAUGUGUUAUUUCAUAGUUUAAGUCUUCACUAUUAUUCUAUAAUGUAGAAAAUAGUAAAAAAUAAA
Salmo salar (Atlantic salmon) is the source of this 1031-nucleotide non-coding RNA. Lineage: Eukaryota; Metazoa; Chordata; Actinopteri; Salmoniformes; Salmonidae. The record is from RefSeq and is a predicted model, not a curated record.